CCUACGGGGGGCAGCAGUGAGGAAUAUUGGUCAAUGGACGAGAGUCUGAACCAGCCAAGUAGCGUGGAGGAUGACUGCCCUAUGGGUUGUAAACUUCUUUGAUAAAGGAAUAAAACGAGGCACGUGUGCCUUUUUGCAUGUACUGUAUGAAUAAGGAUCGGCUAACUCCGUGCCAGCAGCCGCGGUAAUACGGAGGAUACGAGCGUUAUCCGGAUUUAUUGGGUUUAAAGGGAGCGUAGAUGGGUUGUUAAGUCAGUUGUGAAAGUUUGCGGCUUAACCGUAAAAUUGCAAUUGAUACUGGCAGUCUUGAGUACAGUUGAGGUAGGCGGAAUUCGUGGUGUAGCGGUGAAAUGCUUAGAUAUCACGAAGAACUCCGAUUGCGAAGGCAGCUUACUAGUCUGCCACUGACGUUGAUGCUCGAAAGUGUGGGUAUCAAACAGGAUUAGAUACCCGAGUAGUC
Molecule: ribosomal RNA, 460 nt
Filed under: uncultured bacterium
Lineage: Bacteria
Description: partial 16S ribosomal RNA
Rfam family: Bacterial small subunit ribosomal RNA
Source: RNAcentral